AGAGUUUGAUCAUGGCUCAGAUUGAACGCUGGCGGCAGGCCUAACACAUGCAAGUCGAGCGGAUGAAGGGAGCUUGCUCCCUGAUUCAGCGGCGGACGGGUGAGUAAUGCCUAGGAAUCUGCCUGGUAGUGGGGGACAACGUCUCGAAAGGGACGCUAAUACCGCAUACGUCCUACGGGAGAAAGCAGGGGACCUUCGGGCCUUGCGCUAUCAGAUGAGCCUAGGUCGGAUUAGCUAGUUGGUGAGGUAAUGGCUCACCAAGGCUGCGAUCCGUAACUGGUCUGAGAGGAUGAUCAGUCACACUGGAACUGAGACACGGUCCAGACUCCUACGGGAGGCAGCAGUGGGGAAUAUUGGACAAUGGGCGAAAGCCUGAUCCAGCCAUGCCGCGUGUGUGAAGAAGGUCUUCGGAUUGUAAAG
RNAcentral lists this ribosomal RNA (420 nucleotides) under uncultured bacterium. RNAcentral's name for it is "bacterial SSU rRNA". It matches the Rfam family "Bacterial small subunit ribosomal RNA", at positions 8 to 430 of the family's 1533-position model. The record is from RNAcentral.